ACGUAGGUGGCAAGCGUUGUCCGGAUUUACUGGGUGUAAAGGGCGCGUAGGCGGGAUUGCAAGUCAGAUGUGAAAUACCGUGGCUUAACUGCGGGGCUGCAUUUGAGACUGUGAUUCUUGAGUAUCGGAGAGGCAGGCGGAAUUCCCAGUGUAGCGGUGAAAUGCGUAGAUAUUGGGAGGAACACCAGUGGCGAAGGCGGCCUGCUGGACGACAACUGACGCUGAGGCGCGAAAGCGUGGGGAGCAAACAG
RNAcentral lists this ribosomal RNA (251 nucleotides) under uncultured prokaryote. RNAcentral describes it as "partial 16S rRNA". It matches the Rfam family "Bacterial small subunit ribosomal RNA", at positions 525 to 775 of the family's 1533-position model. The record is from RNAcentral.